RNAcentral lists this ribosomal RNA (562 nucleotides) under Plectroglyphidodon imparipennis (brighteye damselfish). RNAcentral's name for it is "partial 16S ribosomal RNA". It matches the Rfam family "Bacterial large subunit ribosomal RNA", at positions 1846 to 2607 of the family's 2925-position model. The record is from RNAcentral. Lineage: Eukaryota; Metazoa; Chordata; Actinopteri; Pomacentridae.
UAGAGGUCCGCCUGCCUGUGACCAUGUGUUUAACGGCCGCGGUAUUUUGACCGUGCAAAGGUAGCGCAAUCACUUGUCUUUUAAAUGGAGACCUGUAUGAAUGGCACGACGAGGGCUUAACUGUCUCCUUUUUCCAGUCAAUGAAAUUGAUCUUCCCGUGCAGAAGCGGGAAUUACACCAUAAGACGAGAAGACCCUGUGGAGCUUUAGACACUAAAGCAGACCAUGUCAAAGACCCCUAUUUAAAGGACUGAACCAGUUGGACCCCUGCCGAGAUGUCUUUGGUUGGGGCGACCUCGGGGAAACACAAAACCCCCGCGCGGAAUAGGAGUACUUUACUCCCAAAGCCAAGAGUUACCACUCUAACUAACAGAAUUUCUGACCAUCAUGAUCCGGCAAUGCCGAUCAACGGACCGAGUUACCCCAGGGAUAACAGCGCAAUCCUCUUUUAGAGCCCAUAUCGACAAGGGGGUUUACGACCUCGAUGUUGGAUCAGGACAUCCUAAUGGUGCAGCCGCUAUUAAGGGUUCGUUUGUUCAACGAUUAAAGUCCUACGUGAUCUG